This 336-nucleotide ribosomal RNA is filed under the name uncultured Chloroflexota bacterium. Its description in RNAcentral is "bacterial SSU rRNA". It matches the Rfam family "Bacterial small subunit ribosomal RNA", at positions 28 to 351 of the family's 1533-position model. The record is from RNAcentral. Lineage: Bacteria; Bacillati; Chloroflexota.
GAUUAACGCUGGCGGCGUGCCUAAUACAUGCAAGUCGAACGGAGAACUUUUGGUAAUUUAUUAUCAGAGGUUCUUAGUGGCGAACGGGUGAGUAACGCGUUGGUGACCUGCCCCGAAGCGUGGGAUAACCCCCGGGAAACCGGAGUUAAUACCACAUGCGAUCAUGAGCAUUAGAAAAUCAUGAUUAAAGGACUUCGGUCCACUUCGGGAGGGGCCUGCGUCCCAUCAGCUAGUUGGUAGGGUAAUGGCCUACCAAGGCAAAGACGGGUAGGGGACCUGAGAGGGUGGCCCCCCACAAUGGUACUGAAACACGGACCAUACACCUACGGGAGGCUG